This is a non-coding RNA of Arachis ipaensis, 357 nucleotides long. Lineage: Eukaryota; Viridiplantae; Streptophyta; Magnoliopsida; Fabales; Fabaceae. The record is from RefSeq and is a predicted model, not a curated record.
GCGUUAUUUUGACGCUGAGGAAAAAAAAAACAGCUGAAGCUGAAGUGUUGAACCCUACCCAUUACCCAACCCAUUUCAAAGACACACUCACCUCCUCAACCUUAAUUUCCUCUUCCACCUUCCUCCAACAAACUCCACCGUCACUAUCACAAUCGACGCCGGAUCCAAGCUGAUGUCAGCGAAUCGAAGCAGCUGUCACCGUCGCGGAUCGAAGCAGCUGUCAGCGAUGUCGUCAUCAUGAACUCUGAACUCUGAAGCUUCUGGCGUCGAUGUUGUCUGGUCAGCCUAGUUGUCGGCUUGUCGUCCUGGUCGUUAGCUUCUGUCAACGUCGUCGUUGGGCAUCUGGUCAUCUUCCUU